This 27-nucleotide transfer RNA is filed under the name Eremonotus myriocarpus. RNAcentral describes it as "partial tRNA-Phe". Lineage: Eukaryota; Viridiplantae; Streptophyta; Jungermanniopsida; Jungermanniales; Jungermanniaceae. The record is from RNAcentral.
GCCGCCGGAAUAGCUCAGUGNGGCGGG